GGGUCGGUAGCUCAGUUUGGGAGAGCGCGUCGUUCGCAAUGACGAGGCCGCGGGUUCGAUCCCCGCCCGAUCCACCA
Molecule: transfer RNA, 77 nt
Filed under: Candidatus Omnitrophota bacterium
Lineage: Bacteria; Pseudomonadati; Candidatus Omnitrophota
Also listed under: 1 other name
Description: tRNA-Ala
Rfam family: tRNA
About the family: Transfer RNA (tRNA) molecules are approximately 80 nucleotides in length. Their secondary structure includes four short double-helical elements and three loops (D, anti-codon, and T loops). Further hydrogen bonds mediate the characteristic L-shaped molecular structure. tRNAs have two regions of fundamental functional importance: the anti-codon, which is responsible for specific mRNA codon recognition, and the 3' end, to which the tRNAs corresponding amino acid is attached (by aminoacyl-tRNA synthetases). tRNAs cope with the degeneracy of the genetic code in two manners: having more than one tRNA (with a specific anti-codon) for a particular amino acid; and 'wobble' base-pairing, i.e. permitting non-standard base-pairing at the 3rd anti-codon position.
Source: RNAcentral